RNAcentral lists this unclassified non-coding RNA (1615 nucleotides) under Hevea brasiliensis (rubber tree). Lineage: Eukaryota; Viridiplantae; Streptophyta; Magnoliopsida; Malpighiales; Euphorbiaceae. The record is from RNAcentral.
GAUAUGGAUCAAUUAUGUCAUCAAAUGUCCCAUUGCGGUAGCAUUGUCUGGCCCACUCUGCUAAGCUUGCAGGUUUGUUAAUAGCUGAUCGAUUCACUGGGGGUCUUGCAGAUAACACUUCACACAGUACAACCCCAAAUGAGUAGACAUCAGAUUUUUCUGUCAAUCUCUGAAGUCGGUAAUAUUCAGGAUCCAAGUAGCCGAAACUGCCUUUCACCACUGUGCUGAUGUGCGGCUUUGACAUGCUAGUAGGACCUAUUUUGGACAAUCCAAAAUCUGAAACCUUGGCAACCCAUUUCUCAUCCAACAAGAUAUUUGUUGUCUUCACAUCACGGUGAAUUAUGGUGUUCUUGGCGCCUGAAUGAAGGUACUGCAACCCGCGUGCUGCACCAAUGCAAAUCUCUAGCCGUUGAUUCCAUGAAAGUGGAGGAUUGUCGGUCUUGUAGAGGUGAUCGCGAAGGGUUCCCCGAGCCAUGUAAUCAUAAACUAGGACCAUCUCAUUUUCUUCGUAGCAAUAACCAAUUAGCGACACUAAAUGAAGAUAUCGAAGUUGGGAUAGCAUCUCAAUUUCCGUCUUGAACUCGUUUGCCCCUUGUUGCGACCCUUCAUUCAAUCUUUUGAUCGCAACGGUGGUGGCCCCAUCAUUAAUCAGCCCUUUGUACACAUUACCAAAUCCUCCGCCCCCGAUAAUGAAUACACUGUCAAAGUUGUUGCUGGCCUCUUUAAUCUCGGCCAGUGAAAAGCGGCGACAAAGAUCAGAAGGUAGAGUUGAGGCCUGGGUCUUUGCAGACUUGGUCGAAGAUACCGAAAAUGGACCCCACCAUGAAGCUGCAUCACUAGAACCCGAGUCCUUGACGUUUAGUCUUCGCCGGAAAAUCACGAACAACAGGAAAGACAGUACCACAAAGCCCGAUACAGCACCACCAACAAUGGCACCUAUUGUUGUCCGAUUAUUGUUCGAUUUUGUUGAUUUGGGACUGGGAUUUGCUGCAGUUGGUGGAUUAAUUGGAGGUAUGUCAGGAUUUGGUGCCGCAAGAUUAUCUUCAUCACUCAAUUUGAAGAUUUCAAGCCCAUUCAGAAUGGCAUCAGAGUAAACACUUAUUUCAGGCCUGGGAUGCAGUGCGAUAGAGAUAUUUUGUACCCUUUCGUUUCUCUUUGGUUCAAUCGUCACCGCAUAAUCUUUGAAGACAGGAAAGCCGUUUCCACCACUCCAUUCAAUUACAUCAGCUGCAGACUCCGCAAUUUGAGUAGCUAUGUAUAUAUAAAAAAUUCUGUCUCCCGUUUUAGUUAUUGGAGGUUGAAUUUCACAAAAGUGAAGCCUAACAAGAUAAGUGAACUUAGAAUCGACCUGAAAGUCCCAAGUGAGAUUGUAGUUUUCAUUUAUCUUCUUGUCCAUCCCCAUCGACCUCACAGUUUGAUAUACUUCAUCGGGUGCAGCGAAAUGAGUCAUGUUGUUUCGGUAUGUAAGUUGAAUGGUGUUGUUAUAAGGCACCGCACUUGGUUUUGCAAUAGUUAAAUAAUCAUCAUCACUAUUCCAGCUUCGAAACAUUCCUGCAGUGUCUUUUAGGGAUGAGAUGUAUCCGCCCCCCACAUUUAUUCUGUACAUCAGCUCCAA